Molecule: long non-coding RNA, 662 nt
Organism: Stylophora pistillata
Lineage: Eukaryota; Metazoa; Cnidaria; Anthozoa; Scleractinia; Pocilloporidae
Source: RefSeq, a predicted model, not a curated record
AUGCCAUCUUAAGGAUGACGAAAAGCCAGAUGAUGUUCAUGUGUCCUUUGCUAAGAAAAAGGUCAAGUCCCAGGCUGAGAAAGGCAAUUCAUCCUCCGAGGCGGAAAAAGCCGUUACCUGUCGAUCAGCGGAAGAAUUCCAUCUUAGUAAUACAAAAGAUGAAAAGUCCUCUACUGAGAAAGGCAACUCAUCCUCGGCUGCAGCAAAAGGGAACACUCCCAUAACUACACCAGCUACUGUAUCUGAAGUGGCUCGUUCUGCGAAAAACGAUGACCGGCUUUCCCAGAGCCAAUGGAACUCCAAAACCCCCUCGAAAACUGAAGAGCAAGGAUUCUUUGGCAACGUGUUUUGGGGAUUGUUACAUCACGCUUCGUCGAAUCUAUAGGUACAUAAGACUCAACUACUUUGGUUUUCUAUGUCUUCCCGAGUGAUCUGCUUUUCUUGCUCCAGGACCAUCCUUGUAAUUAUUAAUUGUAACUUAGUAUAAUAAAAGUGUCGAGAAACGAUAGCGUGAAAAUGUAGUACCAUAAGUAACUAAUGUGUAGUUAACGUUGUGAACAUUUUGUAAAAUGAAGAGUUGAGUUAAGUAUUGUAAAUAUUUAUUUGAUUCAAUUGAUAAUACGGGCAUAUAAUUACAUGCCAUUCUUGAAAAUAAAAUUUUU